This 447-nucleotide ribosomal RNA is filed under the name uncultured bacterium. Its description in RNAcentral is "bacterial SSU rRNA". It matches the Rfam family "Bacterial small subunit ribosomal RNA", at positions 331 to 793 of the family's 1533-position model. The record is from RNAcentral.
CCAGACUCCUACGGGAGGCAGCAGUGGGGAAUAUUGCACAAUGGGGGAAACCCUGAUGCAGCGACGCCGCGCGAGUGAAGAAGUAUCUCGGUACGUAAAGCUCUAUCAGCAGGGAAGAUAAUGACGGUACCUGACCAAGAAGCCCCGGCUAACUACGUGCCAGCAGCCGCGGUAAUACGUAGGGGGCAAGCGUUAUCCGGAUUUACUGGGUGUAAAGGGAGCGUAGACGGCAGCACAAGUCUGGAGUGAAAUCCCGGGGCUCAACCCCGGGGCUGCAUUGGAAACUGGCAGGCUGGAGUGCCGGAGAGGCAGGCGGAAUUCCUAGUGUAGCGGUGAAAUGCGUAGAUAUUAGGAGGAACACCAGUGGCGAAGGCGGCCUGCUGGACGGUGACUGACGCUGAGGCUCGAAAGCGUGGGGAGCAAACAGGAUUAGAUACCCGGGUAAUG